This is a long non-coding RNA of Cryptomeria japonica (Japanese cedar), 450 nucleotides long. RefSeq lists it as uncharacterized. The record is from RefSeq and is a predicted model, not a curated record. Lineage: Eukaryota; Viridiplantae; Streptophyta; Pinopsida; Cupressales; Cupressaceae. The transcript is spliced from 2 exons.
AUUCUCUUCCUUCUUUUAUCGAUGGUUUCCUUUUGUGAAUGUCCCUUUUUCCUCAUUCUCGGUUUGCAAAGAAUUUUCCUUUUCUUCUUUUCAUUGUGAAUGUUCUUAUCUUCUUUUACAUAUGUUUUGUUUCCUUUUCUGUGAAUGUCUGUUUUUGUCAAUGUUGUGUGCGCACUGUUGUGUCUACUCGUGUUGUUUUUCUGUACAUUUUCUGUGGUGUUAUGUUAUUUUUUCUCCCCAAUUAUGUUGUUGUCGUCUUUUUCAUAGUGACAGCAAAAAAGAGGCAGAGAAGAGGAGGCGACAACACAGGAUGAGAAGAGGCAGAGAAGAGGAGGCGACCACACAGAUUUCACACAUAGUUUUAACUAUGGAGUCUACGAAGGAUCUUGUGUUUGAUCUGGUAUUGUUGGAAACUAAGAAAGUUUUUGUGUAUUUAGUAGCACUGAUCUA